This 87-nucleotide transfer RNA is filed under the name Acidobacteriota bacterium. RNAcentral's name for it is "tRNA-Leu". It matches the Rfam family "tRNA". From Rfam's summary of the family: Transfer RNA (tRNA) molecules are approximately 80 nucleotides in length. Their secondary structure includes four short double-helical elements and three loops (D, anti-codon, and T loops). Lineage: Bacteria; Pseudomonadati; Acidobacteriota. The record is from RNAcentral. RNAcentral also lists the same sequence under 3 other names.
GGGGAUGUGGCGGAACUGGCAGACGCGCAGGUCUCAGAAGCCUGUGAUGGUGACAUCGUGGAGGUUCAAGUCCUCUCAUCCCCACCA